GAUGAACGCUGACAGAAUGCUUAACACAUGCAGGUCGAUGGGGAAGUGGUGCUUGCACCAUGGUAACCAUGGCGGACGGGUGAGUAACGCGUAAGGAACUUACCUGCGGGACCGGGAUAACAGCAGGAAACUGCUGACAAGACCGGAUAAGGUCAUUAAGCUGCAUAGCUUAGUGAUGAAAGGAGACGCCUGCGGAGAGCCUUGCGUCCUAUUAGCUAGUUGGAGGGGUAACGGCCCACCAAGGCGAAGAUAGGUAGCCGGCCUGAGAGGGUGGACGGCCACAAGGGGACUGAGAUACGGCCCUUACUCCUACGGGAGGCAGCAGUGGGGAAUAUUGGACAAUGGGGGCAACCCUGAUCCAGCAAUUCUGUGUGCACGAAGACGGUUUUCGGAUUGUAAAGUGCUUUCAGCAGGGAAGAAGGAAGUGACGGUACCUGCAGAAGAAGCGACGGCUAAAUACGUG
This 463-nucleotide ribosomal RNA is filed under the name uncultured bacterium. RNAcentral describes it as "partial 16S ribosomal RNA". It matches the Rfam family "Bacterial small subunit ribosomal RNA", at positions 28 to 507 of the family's 1533-position model. The record is from RNAcentral.